UACUGCUCAGUAACACGUGGACAACCUACCCAUAAGAAGGGCAUAACCUCGGGAAACUGAGGGUAAUUCCCUAUAGGUGAGAGAUACUGGAAUGUUCUCUCAUUUAAAGCUUCGGCGCUUAUGGAUGGGUCUGCGGUGGAUUAGGCAGUUGGCGAGGUAACGGCUCACCAAACCGAUAAUCCAUACGGGCUUUGAGAGAAGGAGCCCGGAGAAGGGGACUGAGACAAGGCCCCUAGCCCUACGGGGUGCAGCAGGCGCGAAACCUUCGCAAUGCACGCAAGUGUGACGAGGGAAUCCCGAGUGCUUCUGCUUUGCAGGAGCUUUUCUUGAGUCCAAAUAACUCGAGGAAUAAGGGGUGGGCAAGGCCCGUGCCAGUCGCCACGGUAAAACGGGCAGCUCAAGUGGUUCCCACGUAUAUUGGGCUUAAAGCGUUCGUAGCUGGUUUGCUAAGUCUUUAGUGAAAUCGUGCUGCUCAACAGUGCGGAGUGCUAAAGAUACUGACAGACUCGAGGCCGGGAGAAGACAGGGGUACUCUUGGGGUAGGGGCGAAAUCCAUCGAUCCCGGGAGGACCAACGGUGGCGAAAGCGCCUGUCUAGAACGGUCCUGACAGUGAGGGACGAAAGCUAGGGGAGCGACCCGGAUUAGAUACCCGGUUAGUCCUAGCUGUAAACGAUGUUCGCUUGGUGUCAGGCAACCCUAGAGGUUGCUUGGUACCGUAGGGAAAACCGUUAAGCGAACCGCCUGGGGAGUACGGCUGCAAGGCUGAAACUUAAAGGAAUUGGCGGGGGAGCACCACAAGGGGUGGAUGCUGCGGUUCAAUCGGACAACCCCGAGCAACUUACCGGGGACGACAGCAGUAUGAAGGCCAGUCUGAAGGGCUUGCUAGACAAGCUGAGAGGUGGUGCAUGGCCAUCGUCAGCUCGUGCUGUGAAGUGUCCAGUUAAGUCUGGCAACGAGCGAGACCCCCACC
This 971-nucleotide ribosomal RNA is filed under the name uncultured archaeon. Its description in RNAcentral is "bacterial SSU rRNA". It matches the Rfam family "Archaeal small subunit ribosomal RNA", at positions 84 to 1058 of the family's 1478-position model. The record is from RNAcentral.